RNAcentral lists this ribosomal RNA (489 nucleotides) under uncultured bacterium. Its description in RNAcentral is "bacterial SSU rRNA". It matches the Rfam family "Bacterial small subunit ribosomal RNA", at positions 28 to 507 of the family's 1533-position model. The record is from RNAcentral.
GAUGAACGCUAGCUACAGGCUUAACACAUGCAAGUCGAGGGGCAGCAUGAACUUAGCUUGCUAAGUUUGAUGGCGACCGGCGCACGGGUGAGUAACACGUAUCCAACCUGCCGAUGACUCGGGGAUAGCCUUUCGAAAGAAAGAUUAAUACCCGAUGGCAUAGUUCUUCCGCAUGGUAGAACUAUUAAAGAAUUUCGGUCAUCGAUGGGGAUGCGUCCCAUUAGCUUGUUGGCGGGGUAACGGCCCACCAAGGCGACGAUGGGUAGGGGUUCUGAGAGGAAGGUCCCCCACAUUGGAACUGAGACACGGUCCAAACUCCUACGGGAGGCAGCAGUGAGGAAUAUUGGUCAAUGGACGAGAGUCUGAACCAGCCAAGUAGCGUGAAGGAUGACUGCCCUAUGGGUUGUAAACUUCUUUUAUACGGGAAUAAAGUGAGGCACGUGUGCCUUUUUGUAUGUACCGUAUGAAUAAGGAUCGGCUAACUCCGUG